RNAcentral lists this ribosomal RNA (185 nucleotides) under uncultured bacterium. RNAcentral's name for it is "partial 16S ribosomal RNA". It matches the Rfam family "Bacterial small subunit ribosomal RNA", at positions 1316 to 1500 of the family's 1533-position model. The record is from RNAcentral.
CUGCACGAAGCCGGAAUCGCUAGUAAUCGCAGAUCNGAAUGCUGCGGUGAAUACGUUCCCGGGUCUUGUACACACCGCCCGUCACACCAUGGGAGUUGGAAAUGCCCGAAGCCAGUGACCCAACCGGAAGGAGGGAGCUGUCGAAGGUGGAGCCGAUGACUGGGGUGAAGUCGUAACAAGGUAAC